This 481-nucleotide ribosomal RNA is filed under the name uncultured bacterium. RNAcentral's name for it is "partial 16S ribosomal RNA". It matches the Rfam family "Bacterial small subunit ribosomal RNA", at positions 32 to 523 of the family's 1533-position model. The record is from RNAcentral.
AAUCAACGCUGGCGGCGUGCCUCAGACAUGCAAGUCGAACGAUUAAAGCUCCCUUCGGGGAGUGCAUAGAGUGGCGCACGGGUGAGUAACACGUAAGUAAUCUACCUUCGAGUGGGGAAUAACGUCCGGAAACGGACGCUAAUACCGCAUAAUGCAGCGGCAUCGCAAGAUGACAGUUGUUAAAGAUUUAUCGCUUGAAGAGGAGCUUGCGGCAGAUUAGCUAGUUGGUAAGGUAAUGGCUUACCAAGGCUACGAUCUGUAACCGGUCUUAGAGGACGGUCGGUCACACUGACACUGAAUAACGGGUCAGACUCCUACGGGAGGCAGCAGUCGGGAAUUUUGGGCAAUGGGCGAAAGCCUGACCCAGCAACGCCGCGUGAAGGAUGAAGUAUUUCGGUAUGUAAACUUCGAAAGAAUGGGAAGAAUCAAUGACGGUACCAUUUAUAAGGUCCGGCUAACUUCGUGCCAGCAGCCGCGGUAA